This 242-nucleotide long non-coding RNA is filed under the name Homo sapiens (human). Its description in RNAcentral is "non-protein coding lnc-RPIA-17:2". Lineage: Eukaryota; Metazoa; Chordata; Mammalia; Primates; Hominidae. The record is from RNAcentral.
CCCUCUCCUGCGGGGCCAGUCAGAGUGUUAGCAGCAGCUACUUAGCCUGGUACCAGCAGAAACCUGGCCUGGCGCCCAGGCUCCUCAUCUAUGAUGCAUCCAGCAGGGCCACUGGCAUCCCAGACAGGUUCAGUGGCAGUGGGUCUGGGACAGACUUCACUCUCACCAUCAGCAGACUGGAGCCUGAAGAUUUUGCAGUGUAUUACUGUCAGCAGUAUGGUAGCUCACCUCCCACAGUGAUU